AGUGAACGCUGGCGGUAGGCCUAACACAUGCAAGUCGAACGGCAGCACAGUAAGAGCUUGCUCUUACGGGUGGCGAGUGGCGGACGGGUGAGGAAUACAUCGGAAUCUAUUUUUUCGUGGGGGAUAACGUAGGGAAACGUACGCUAAUACCGCAUACGACCUACGGGUGAAAGCAGGGGAUCUUCGGACCUUGCGCGAUUGAAUGAGCCGAUGUCGGAUUAGCUAGUUGGCGGGGUAAAGGCCCACCAAGGCGACGCUCCGUAGCUGGUCUGAGAGGAUGAUCCGCCACCCUGGAAGUGAGACACAGUCCCGACUCCUACGGGAGGCAGCAGUGGGGAAUAUUGGACAAUGGGGGCAAGCCUGAUCCAGCCAUACCGCGUGGGGGAAGAAGGCGUUCGGGUGGUAAAGCCAUUUUGUUGGGAAAGAAAAGCAGCAGGUUAAUACCCCGCGGUUCUGACGGUACCCAAAGAAUAAGCACCGGCUAACUUCGUG
RNAcentral lists this ribosomal RNA (492 nucleotides) under uncultured bacterium. RNAcentral's name for it is "partial 16S ribosomal RNA". It matches the Rfam family "Bacterial small subunit ribosomal RNA", at positions 29 to 507 of the family's 1533-position model. The record is from RNAcentral.